CACCCCUGGGGCGGGGGGGAGUCCCCCAGAUUGCCCGAGUUGCACCCCGCUGUCACUCUGUUCCUCCAACUAGGUACAGAGAGCAGGGAGCAGAGGAGGCGCGCAAGCACCGACCGGUCACCGCUCCAAUUACCUCAUCGCUCCAACUCCCCACCCCUCUCAAACCUGGAAGGAGCACCACCCCCGGGGGCCAAGGCCUGCGUUACCCCCCUUCUGCUCCCAGUGGCGGAGCCGUACAGGACCUGUUUCACUGCAGGGGGAUCCAAAAACAAGCCCCGUGGAGCAGCAGCCAGACCAACAGCAGCCGCAAGACAUUGUUUCUCUCCCUCUGUACCCCCUUCCCCACGCAACCCCAGAUCCAUUUACACUUUACAGAGCAUCGUGCAACAGCAAGUCACCAGGGUGGUUCAUUCGUGCUGCAGAUUUGCCUGCCAUCCUUGGCCCCCAGUCACCUGCUCCACUAUCACUGCGGGGAAGAGCGUCACAUGUCAGGGUCCUGCUGAACCAGAGACCACCCUGAGACUGAAUUCUGGUCUUCUCUUCUGCACGACAACCAGCACUGCUGAUACUAAAGAGACUCCCCCAAAAUGUGCCUGACAUUGAAGUUCUUCACACUUUUAUUAUGGAACCCUUAUACUGUCUCUUCCAUUCAUUUGGGCUCCUCUGAUACUGACAUUGGGAAUUUCACUUAGCAGAGCCAAAUUUCGUGAUUGAUAUACAUUCCCACAAAUCAGUGUUAGUGAAUAUUAUUUACUAGAUUUGUGAUUGAAAAUAACACAUACAGUGUACACACCCAGGAAUGGUCAUAGUGCAGAGAAGUUGGUCUCUUAAUAAGAAUGCUACCCGGCUGACAUGCUGGGGAGUAAAGAUGUAUCAGUCACUAGGUAUCAUUACCUAAUCUUCACUGUUAACCAGACAGGUACUUGUUAUCUCCAGCUCAAAGAUAAAUAACUGGGUUAGUAGUCCUGCUCAGGGUCACAGAGCUGAUAGGAUAGAGAUUUGACUCCUGCCAUUUUAACCCCAGCCCCUCGGCUCCCAAUGAAUAUAAAGUUGGUUGCUUACCUCCUGGUGCCAUGGUGAGAUUUGCAAAAUUAUUUUCAGAAACUAUUUUUUAUUAAAUACUGUGUAUAUUCAAAAGCCUAUUCACAAAAUACAUAUUUCAAAGAAUGAGGAUUCAGUGAACACCCAUUUCAUUCUCCACUCAGGUUUUUAAAGUACCACAAUCGUGAUGUCCCCUGUGGACUUCCCUAAUCUUGUCACUUUCUUUUUUCUCACCAUCGAACUAGUACUGUAGAAAAAAAAAGAAUGACAUUUUAAAAUAUUUUAAACCAAAGUAUUCAAAAGCACUCUGUCAGAUCACUCUCUUUUCCCACCGGUUUUUCUGCUGUCUUCUCCCUGCCCGUUCUUUGCUCUGACCUCUUCCCUCUUUUCUGUCCCUGUUGUGGUGACAGAGAAGAACCUGGUCAGACCUGCUGUAGGAUGUCAGGGAAGGGGAAUGGGCCGCCGGAGCCUGUGCUGGGCAGUCUCAGUGAGGUAACAGGAUUUUUGCUUCCUUCAACCAACACAUCCUUUUCCAAUAAGGUGUGCCAUUGAGGGAUCGUAACUGACCAAAGGAAAGGAGUGAUUCAGUCCAACUGUGCUGACAGGGCUCUCCCAAGCUUACCAGGUUAGGAGUCAUUGUCAUUAACCCUGUGGACAUGUAGCCUUCAAUAGUGUGACUUAAACCAGGGAUUUGUCUCAAAGGUUCUGCCGCCUGCCUUGCAAGCGCAAGGGCCUGAGUUCGAUCCCCUGUACCCCCACAAAGUGUGAUUUAAAAUAUUGCUACAUUUUUCAUAACCUAUGCGAAGGCAGUCAUAACACACUGAAAAACCAUUGGAUGGAACAUGAUAACGUAUCCUUGUUGUCCCUUAAUAGUGUAAUACAGUUUUUAAGCAAGUAGUAAUAGCUGGUCGUGUGUACAAAAAUCAAGAUGGCAGGAAUACUAGAAUUCUUUCCAUCAGUUGGGAAAAUACAUUCAAAUAAUUUACUCCAACUUUUUACGAAUUAAAACAAUUUGGUUGCACAUUGAACUCUGUUGUGUAAGUUUUUCUGAGGACUGUGGUUCAAUAGGAGGAGGUUCCAAUUUAAUGCAGUCUUAGCUGUUUGAGACUUAGUACUAUGCUGUUUAAAUUACUUCCAUAAUCUUGCAAAAAUAUAAUUAAUUUACAAAGAUGAAGAAGAACCACGUCUAACUAAAUAUAAAAGUGCUUAUAAAUUUGGGGCAGUGGUGCACGCCUGUAAUCCCAGCACUCUGGGAGCCUGAGACAGGAGGAUCCCAAGCUCAUCACAGUCUGAGCAAUUUAGUGAGACCCUGUGUCAAAGCUAAAAAAUAAAAAUAAGUAAAAAUAGAGUGGGGGACAGGAUGCGGUUCAGUGUGAAGGCUCCAAUUUCAAACCAUAGUAUGGUUAAAAAAAAACUUAUAAAGUCUUUUGUGUAUAAAUGUAUAGUCAUUUGCAUAAUCACAUUUACAUAUGUAUGUUAUAGCUAUGUGUAUUUGUAUGUGUAAAUAUAAUAUGCACUCUUUAUAGAACUGAUGUUGGAGCCAGCCAUAUGAUUUGGAGUUUUAUCAAAUGGAGUGAAACUUUCAAUGAUUAUGAUUUGGCCUGUAAAAAUAGGAAUAAUGAGAUCAAAGUGUACCUGUCUACUUUUAUCUCCUAUCGCUGCUUUUUUUGCUUAGAAACAAAUUUAUGUUGAAAUAAUAUACCUGUGAACCUCAAAUAUGAGGAAAAGAGCUACACAAGACACUUUGUUUCAGUUUGUCCAGGUCUCAAGACGUGUGGUAAAAACAUGGAACCUGGAGUCAUCUUGGCAAAUGCAGCAUCAGAGCUUCCCUGAUUUCAAAGCCUCUGUUGAGUGUUCUAAGUACUUUCUGUGACAUCUCUUACUAGAGGAAUUGGCACCAGCUAAGAAAAUGUUCAGUUUAAUACUUUAGAGCAAAUAAUUGCCUAGGAUGCCUUAAAUAUCACAGGAAAUGUAUAGAUUGUUUACCUGACAUUUGCUCCAUUGAACACUAAUACUGAAACAGAUUCUUCGACCACAGAGAAUGCUGGUGUAGGUGGAGUGGGGGUGGACGAGAGAAAGAGGCAGAGAAAAAACAGCCAACAUGAUUAGAUAAAAAAUAAAUGGCAAAUGAGUUUGUUUUUUUUUUUAUUUUUUUCACAAUAUGGAGCUACCAGGAAAAUAAAUGCCCACUUGUUUGAUCCAGUGGUCUUGGACUGUGGUGGCAAAAAGCAAAGGACAUAGAACUCUGUUAGGAUUAGGUUUCUUCCACAAAAGGUUGCCUUCACCUGGCCGUUGAAAGCCCUAUAGCCCCUGGGUGACCUGGUUUAUUUUUCAAGAUCCUGAAAGCUAGAGGAAUAACCUCCCUUAAAAAAAAAAAAAAGAAGAAGAAGAAGAAAGGGGGGAGGGGAAGGGGAGGAGGGAGAAGAGGAAGAGGAAGAAGAAGAGGGGAAAUAAUUCGUUGUUGUCUGUUUAAUCUGCACAUGCUUGCGAACUUUUUUCUAAGUGACAGCUCUGGUGCCCUCAUUUCUUAAUGUAGCUCAGUUUCUUGAGCCCCCCCCCCAUGCUUCUUGCACUUGUGUUCUUUUCUCACUUCCCUAGCAAUGUUCAUGUAGGUCUUAUCUUAGAAUGGGUUCUGGGCCGGUUUAGUGCAGCUCAGAAGUGCAGAGCAUUUUUCCCCCCACAAACUGGAUCCAAGGCGCUUUGACUCGGUUGCAUUUAAUAGGAAAAAGUAGGAGAUAGUUUAGGGAACUGAGCCCUUUUCCAUUCAUAGGUUCGUGUCAGCUCUGCAGCAUCUUUAAGGGAAUUUUAAAUGCAUCUGGUAAAAGCCAAUUGGCAGGCACACAGGAUGGGCUCAGGCAUGUGGAAUUGUGCAGUGUUAGUGAAAUCUGUUAGAAGCUUCCGUCUUUCUGUCUCGUCAAGGGGAGCUACUUUUAAAUACUCAAGGGAAUUUCGUAAACAAUGAUCCUAAGUCAAAACUUCCCCCUGCAGGUUAGCCCCUGUGCUACAAUGCUCAGCAGAGGAAACGCUGUAUUUAUGGCUUUUCCACUGAUUUGAGAUUUGACCUUGAAUAAAUCAUGUUUAACUUCUCGAUGCUUCGUUUAACUUUUGAAAGACGUGUGGUUGUGGAUGGCCUGUGGGAAGACAGUGACUGAAGCUCACAACAGAAGGGGGACUUCAAGGAAAAUUUUAUUAGGAACGAGCUGUGGGUAUGAAAGCAGUCCUUAUGCAGGGGGCUCUUGGUGAACAAUCUUGCCAUGUGUGGCUCCUAAGGAAGGCAGGGGUUUUCUUGUAACAAUCUUACUAUAUUUUAUAGAAUUAAAAUUUGUAUUGUUUUACAUUAUGUUAUUGUUUCCUAUGUAUAUUUAUUGGUUUAUUCUUUAACUCCAGAAAGCUUUGUGUUCGUACAUCUUCUACCUGUACUAGGAUUUUUAUUUAUAAUGUUACAAUUUAAAUUGUAAUGAAGCAGUAACAAAUUUUGUUUAAUAUGCAGAGACCUUUAAUUUUAUUGUGCAGAAGAAAGUCUAAGGCAGUUGUUUAAAAAGUUGCCUAGGAGAUGAUCUAAGUGGUUUUUCAUUUAUUUGGAG
Molecule: long non-coding RNA, 4625 nt
Filed under: Fukomys damarensis (Damara mole-rat)
Lineage: Eukaryota; Metazoa; Chordata; Mammalia; Rodentia; Bathyergidae
Description: lncRNA (ENSFDAG00000023179.1)
Source: RNAcentral